AGGACGAACGCUGGCGGCGUGCCUAACACAUGCAAGUCGAACGAGGUCCAACCGGUGGCAACACUGGUGAAGACCGAGUGGCGAACGGGUGAGUAACACGUGAGCAACCUGCCUCGAAGACUGGGAUAACCCCGGGAAACCGGAGCUAAUACCGGAUACCCCCACCGGGUCGCAUGGCCUGGUGAGGAAAUGGAUUCCGCUUUGAGAGGGGCUCGCGGCCUAUCAGCUUGAUGGUGGGGUAAUGGCCUACCAUGGCACCGACGGGUAGCUGGUCUGAGAGGACGAUCAGCCACACUGGGACUGAGACACGGCCCAGACUCCUACGGGAGGCAGCAGUGGGGAAUCUUGCGCAAUGGGCGAAAGCCUGACGCAGCAACGCCGCGUGUGGGACGAAGGCCUUCUGGGUUGUAAACCACUUUUCAGCAGGGACGAUUGUGACGGUACCUGCAGAAGAAGCCCCGGCCAACUACGUGCCAGCAGCCGC
This 484-nucleotide ribosomal RNA is filed under the name uncultured bacterium. Its description in RNAcentral is "SSU rRNA". It matches the Rfam family "Bacterial small subunit ribosomal RNA", at positions 26 to 518 of the family's 1533-position model. The record is from RNAcentral.